CACGUAGGGACCGAGCGUUGUCCGGAUUCAUUGGGCGUAAAGAGCUCGUAGGCGGUCGGGUAAGUCGGGUGUGAAAUCUCCGGGCUCAACUCGGAGGGGCCACCCGAUACUGCACGACUCGAGUCCGGUAGGGGAGUGGGGAAUUCCUGGUGUAGCGGUGAAAUGCGCAGAUAUCAGGAGGAACACCGGUGGCGAAGGCGCCACUCUGGGCCGGUACUGACGCUGAGGAGCGAAAGCGUGGGUAGCAAACAGG
RNAcentral lists this ribosomal RNA (253 nucleotides) under uncultured bacterium. RNAcentral's name for it is "partial 16S ribosomal RNA". It matches the Rfam family "Bacterial small subunit ribosomal RNA", at positions 524 to 776 of the family's 1533-position model. The record is from RNAcentral.